GACCACUACUGGUGUCCUAAGUGGUUAGAGCAUCUGCCUUGGAUGUGGAAGGUCAUGGGUUCUAAUCCUAGCUAAGUCA
Molecule: non-coding RNA, 79 nt
Organism: Potamilus streckersoni
Lineage: Eukaryota; Metazoa; Mollusca; Bivalvia; Unionida; Unionidae
Source: the annotation of a GenBank genome assembly